UACGAAGGGUGCAAACGUUGCUCGGAAUUAUUGGGCGUAAAGCGCACGUAGGCGGUAUCGCAAGUCCCAUGUGAAAGCCCACGGCUUAACCGUGGAAGUGCAUGGGAAACUGGCGGGCUGGAGUAUGGCAGAGGGGGGUGGAAUUCCGCGUGUAGCAGUGAAAUGCGUAGAGAUGCGGAGGAACACCGAUGGCGAAGGCAGCCCCCUGGGCCAAUACUGACGCUCAGGCACGAAAGCGUGGGGAGCAAACAGG
RNAcentral lists this ribosomal RNA (253 nucleotides) under uncultured bacterium. RNAcentral describes it as "partial 16S ribosomal RNA". It matches the Rfam family "Bacterial small subunit ribosomal RNA", at positions 524 to 776 of the family's 1533-position model. The record is from RNAcentral.